GGCUAUGAAGGAAAAUGAAGCGAGGAGAC
Molecule: non-coding RNA, 29 nt
Filed under: Rattus norvegicus (Norway rat)
Lineage: Eukaryota; Metazoa; Chordata; Mammalia; Rodentia; Muridae
Source: RNAcentral